AAUGUAUGACGCCGUUGAUUUUUUGACAAACAUUUGACCUUUCGUCUUAUUUAAAAAAUUUAUGUAAUUAUAAUUUAUUUUAUUAUGACUUGAUUUAUCAUCAAAUAUUCUUUAAGCAUGAUGUAAGUAUUUUUAUAUUUGCAUAAAAAUUUUGAAUAAGACGGAUGGUUAAACGUUGGUCAAAAAGUCAACGGUG
Oryza sativa Japonica Group (Japanese rice) is the source of this 196-nucleotide microRNA precursor. It matches the Rfam family "MIR812 microRNA precursor family". NCBI's taxonomy places the organism in Eukaryota, Viridiplantae, Streptophyta, Magnoliopsida, Poales, Poaceae. The record is from Rfam.